RNAcentral lists this ribosomal RNA (437 nucleotides) under uncultured bacterium. Its description in RNAcentral is "bacterial SSU rRNA". It matches the Rfam family "Bacterial small subunit ribosomal RNA", at positions 29 to 454 of the family's 1533-position model. The record is from RNAcentral.
AUUGAACGCUGGCGGCAUGCCUAACACAUGCAAGUCGAACGGCGGCACAGCAGUGGCAAUACUGUGGGUGGCGAGUGGCGGACGGGUGAGGAAUACGUCGGAAUCUGCCCAGUCGUGGGGGGAUAACUAGCCGAAAGGUUAGCUAAUACCGCAUACGACCGAGAGGUGAAAGCGGGGGGACCGCAAGGCCUCGCGCGAUUGGAUGAGCCGACGUCGGAUUAGCUAGUUGGCGGGGUAAAGGCCCACCAAGGCGACGAUCCGUAGCUGGUCUGAGAGGAUGAUCAGCCACACUGGAACUGAGACACGGUCCAGACUCCUACGGGAGGCAGCAGUGGGGGAAUAUUGGACAAUGGGCGCAAGCCUGAUCCAGCAAUGCCGCGUGUGUGAAGAAGGCCUUCGGGUUGGUUAAAGACGACUUUAAUCUAGGACGAAAGACG